Rhipicephalus microplus (southern cattle tick) is the source of this 150-nucleotide long non-coding RNA. The record is from RefSeq and is a predicted model, not a curated record. NCBI's taxonomy places the organism in Eukaryota, Metazoa, Arthropoda, Arachnida, Ixodida, Ixodidae.
AGAGCUACACCCUCAAAAAUCAACUGCAAAAUUAGGUGUUGUGCUCGGCUAAAAAGCGGUAGGCACGCCUGUGGUUUGCACCCAAUGCUUGAUCACAUGCCGUGUGAUUUCAAAAAGAAAUGCUUCCAGGGUGUGUGCACAAGAGAAAAA